RNAcentral lists this ribosomal RNA (1429 nucleotides) under uncultured archaeon. RNAcentral's name for it is "16S ribosomal RNA". It matches the Rfam family "Archaeal small subunit ribosomal RNA". The record is from RNAcentral.
ACCCCACUGCUAUCGGGAUGGGACUAAGACAUGUUAGUCGAGCGUCUCCAAGCUAUGAUGGAGGCGCGGCAUACAGCUCAGUAACACGUGGCUAACCUGCCCUUGGGACAAGGACAACCCCGGGAAACUGAGGCUAAUCCUUGAUAGGUGAGAACUCCUGGAAUGGAUUCUUGCUCAAAAGAUGCUUUGAUCAUGCUUCUAGGCAUCGCCCAAGGAGGGGGCCGCGGCCGAUCAGGUUGUUGGUGAGGUAACGGCUCACCAAGCCUCUGACCGGUACGGGCCGUGAGAGCGGAAGCCCGGAGAUGGGCACUGAGACAAUGGCCCAGGCCCUACGGGGCGCAGCAGUCGCGAAAACUCCGCAAUACACGAAAGUGUGUCGGGGCUAUCGGGGGGGGGGGGGGGCUGAGGAUAGCUUUUCCCCAGUGUACAAAGCUGGGAGAAUAAGGAGAGGGCAAGCCUGGUGUCAGCCGCCGCGGUAAUACCAGCUCUCCGAGUGGUGGGGAUGUUUAUUGGGCCUAAAGCAUUCGUAGCCUGCUAGCCAAGUCCUCCGUUAAAUCCACCGAUUCAAUCGUUGGGCUGCGGGGGAUACUGUCUAGCUAGGGGGCGGAAGAGGCCGACGGUAUCCCCGGGNUANGGGUGAAAUCCUAUAAUCCCGGGUGGNCCACCAGUNGGCGAAGGCUGUCGGCUANAACGCGCUCGACGGUGAGGGAUGNAAGCUGGGGGAGCGAACCGGAUUAGAUACCCGGGUAGUCCCAGCUGNUAAACGAUGCAGGCUAGGUGNUUGGCGCGGCUACGNUGCCGCUCCAGUGCCGCAGGGAAGCCGUUAAGCCUGCCGCCUGGGAAAUACGGCCGCAAGGCUGAAACUUAAAGGAAUUGGCGGGGGAGCACCACAAGGGGUGAAGCUUGCGGUUUAAUUGGAGUCAACGCCGGAAAUCUCACCGGGGGCGACAGCAGAAUGAAGGUCAGAUUGAAGGUCUUACCAGACAAGCUGAGAGGAGGUGCAUGGCCGUCGCCAGUUCGUGCCGUGAGGUGUCCUGUUAAGUCAGGCAACGAUCGAGACCCGCAUCCCCCUGUUGCCACCGGCCUUAGGCCGAGCACACUGGGGAAACUGCCGCCGAAAAGGCGGAGGAAGGAGCGGGCCACGGCAGGUCAGUAUGCCCCGAAUCCCCCGGGCUACACGCGAGCUGCAAUGGCAGGUACAGAGGGUACCAACCCCGAAAGGGGAAGGAAGUCCCGAAAGCCUGCCGUAGUUGGGAUCGAGGGUUGUAACUCACCUUCGUGAACAUGGAAUCCCUAGUAAUCGCGCGUCACUAUCGCGCGGUGAAUACGUCCCUGCUCCUUGCACACACCGCCCGUCGUUCCAUCCAAGCGAUACUUGGGUGAGGCGUGGUCCUCUGGGCUGCGUCGAAUCCAAGUUUCGUGAGGAGGG